AGGACGAACGCUGGCGGCGUGCUUAACACAUGCAAGUCGAGCGGAAAGGCCCUUCGGGGUACUCGAGCGGCGAACGGGUGAGUAACACGUGAGUAACCUGCCCUAGGCUUUGGGAUAACCCUCGGAAACGGGGGCUAAUACCGGAUAUUCACUUUCCGUGGCAUCACGGGUGGUGGAAAGUUUUUCGGCUUGGGAUGGGCUCGCGGCCUAUCAGCUUGUUGGUGGGGUGAUGGCCUACCAAGGCGACGACGGGUAGCCGGCCUGAGAGGGCGACCGGCCACACUGGGACUGAGACACGGCCCAGACUCCUACGGGAGGCAGCAGUGGGGAAUAUUGCACAAUGGGCGGAAGCCUGAUGCAGCGACGCCGCGUGAGGGAUGAAGGCCUUCGGGUUGUAAACCUCUUUCGACAGGGACGAAGCGCAAGUGACGGUACCUGGAGAAGAGCGCCGGCCAACUACGUGCCAGCAGCCGC
This 474-nucleotide ribosomal RNA is filed under the name uncultured bacterium. RNAcentral describes it as "SSU rRNA". It matches the Rfam family "Bacterial small subunit ribosomal RNA", at positions 26 to 518 of the family's 1533-position model. The record is from RNAcentral.